GACGAACGCUGGCGGCGUGCUUAACACAUGCAAGUCGAACGCUGAAGCUCAGCUUUUGUUGGGUGGAUGAGUGGCGAACGGGUGAGUAACACGUGAGUAACCUGCCUCCUUCUUUGGGAUAACGCCCGGAAACGGGUGCUAAUACUGGAUAUUCACUGGUCUUCGCAUGGGGGUUGGUGGAAAGGGUUUUUCUGGUGGGGGAUGGGCUCGCGGCCUAUCAGCUUGUUGGUGGGGUGAUGGCCUACCAAGGCUUUGACGGGUAGCCGGCCUGAGAGGGUGACCGGUCACAUAGGGACUGAGAUACGGCCCAGACUCCUACGGGAGGCAGCAGUGGGGAAUAUUGCACAAUGGGCGAAAGCCUGAUGCAGCGACGCCGCGUGAGGGAUGGAGGCCUUCGGGUUGUGAACCUCUUUCGCUCAUGGUCAAGCCGCAACAAUGGUUGUGGUGAGGGUAGUGGGUAAAGAAGCGCCGGCUAACUACGUG
Molecule: ribosomal RNA, 483 nt
Filed under: uncultured bacterium
Lineage: Bacteria
Description: partial 16S ribosomal RNA
Rfam family: Bacterial small subunit ribosomal RNA
Source: RNAcentral